This 450-nucleotide ribosomal RNA is filed under the name uncultured bacterium. RNAcentral's name for it is "bacterial SSU rRNA". It matches the Rfam family "Bacterial small subunit ribosomal RNA", at positions 354 to 796 of the family's 1533-position model. The record is from RNAcentral.
GUAGGGAAUAUUGCGCAAUGGACGCAAGUCUGACGCAGCAACGCCGCGUGGGUGAUGAAGCUCUUUGGAGUGUAAAACCCUGUCAGUGGGGAAGAAACGUAGAGGGAGUAACUGCCCUUUACCUGACGGUACCCACAGAGGAAGUCCCGGCUAACUCCGUGCCAGCAGCCGCGGUAAUACGGGGGGGACGAGCGUUGUUCGGAUUUACUGGGCGUAAAGGGCGCGUAGGCGGACCUUCAAGUCGGGUGUGAAACCUGUCGGCUUAACUGACAGCCUGCACUUGAUACUGUUGGCCUUGAGUACGGGAGAGGAGAGCGGAAUUCCUGGUGUAGCGGUGAAAUGCGUAGAUAUCAGGAAGAACACCGGUUGCGAAGGCGGCUCUCUGGACCGAUACUGACGCUUAAGCGCGAAGGCUUGGGGAGCAAACAGGAUUAGAAACCCCGGUAGUCC